UUAACAUAAUGUUUGAAAGAAGCGACAAGACACGUACUAAAAAGGAAGCACCAUGAGGGGAUGUAUUUUACUUGCUGUUUUUGUGGUACUUGCCGCUUUGAUUACAGUGGAAUCAGCUAAAUGCGGUUCAAGAGAUUACAACCCAAGAUUCUACACCUGUUGUAAAGGCAAACUAACUUUUGGAAGCGGACAGUCUUGUUGUGGAACAAAAGCAUACAACCAUAGAUUCUACACAUGUUGUGCGGGCAAACUCACUUAUGGAAGCGGACAGUCCUGUUGUGGAACAAAGGCUUACAACCACAGAUUCUACACAUGUUGUGCGGGCAAACUCACUUUUGGAAGCGGACAGUCCUGUUGUGGAACAAAGGCUUACAACCACAGAUUCUACACAUGUUGUGCGGGCAAACUCACUUUUGGAAGCGGUCAGUCCUGUUGUGGAACAAAGGCUUAUAACCACAGAUUCUAUUCUUGUUGUCGCGGAGUCGUUCGUUUUGGAAAAUGUUAAAUGGUCUGUGUCUUUUUGUAGAUAUUUUACAUAUCAAAAUACCAUAUUGACUGUAACUCACCAUUGUAUGUUCGAUCCAAAAUGCUAUAAACUUAGUCAAUGAUUUUCUAGCAUGGCAACCAUAAAUCGAAUUACCUUAACUGAUUCUACAUAUUUUUUUAUGAAUGUGAGACGUUCAUACAUAUUCCAUGAUUUCGCAGUGAAAUAAACGGGCUAAACAAUUAGGAGGGUUCAUAUAUGCGUAUUACUUCAAGGUAGAUUGGAUAUUUUGCUACAAUGUAUAAAAUAAAUUCUUGAUUGAAAACUGGUGUACACGCUUUUUAAAAACUUAUUCGAUUAAUAAAAGAGUCUAUGCGAAAUGAACUAUAAACAUAAUAAUUUUGUUAAUGUUCCGCGCACAGAAAAAACAUAUACAAGUCGGAUUGUAAAACCUAUUGUAUCUUUUUUCUAUUAUGCUGUCAUGUUCAUGUAUGUAUAUUUUAUAAAUAAAGAGAAUCUCAGACUUUUA
Molecule: long non-coding RNA, 1013 nt
Organism: Mercenaria mercenaria
Lineage: Eukaryota; Metazoa; Mollusca; Bivalvia; Venerida; Veneridae
Exons: 3
Source: RefSeq, a predicted model, not a curated record